AUACUUUGACUGUAAAUUUUAUGUAAAUCCUUUUAUCUUUAUACCAAAUUUAGAUAAGAAAAAUGCCUUUCGGUAAAGCAAAAAAUUAAGACAGAAGUUAGUAUCUCUUGUGCAGAAACAGUGAAAAUAAAAAUCUGAAAUCCAACACCUGGAGAAAAAAAAUCUAAUUUUAGAGGAAAGAAUGAGAGAGUCUGUUUUAGUGGGCAGUGGAUAUACUGCAUGUAUUUUAUGUAAUAGUCUUGCACAGUGGUUAAGAGAAUACACUUUGAAUCAAGUGCCGAGGUUCAAAUUUUGCUGUAUUAUUUACCCGCUAUAGUUCUGGGCAAGCUGCUAAAACUUUCUGUGCCUGUUUCUUCAUCUGUAAAACAGAGUUAAUAAUACCUCACAGGGGUGUUCUGGGGCUUAAGUGGGACUAUAUAAAGCAUGCAGAUGAGUACCUGGCACACACAUACGUGAACUGGGAAUGUAUUAUAUGCUCUCUUAGUGUUUACCCAUUAUUUUGUAUAGCACACACUUUCACCUCUCCGCCAGUAAUGGUGAAAACUAAUAGCAUCUGUCCUUUUGUUUCCUGGUCUCUACUGAAAUCAGAGUCACAUGUGCAAGCUGAAUGAUGCCAUUAGGCCCAUAACCGGUUGAUCUCAUUCUCCUCA
This 650-nucleotide long non-coding RNA is filed under the name Homo sapiens (human). Its description in RNAcentral is "HSALNT0030413". The record is from RNAcentral. Lineage: Eukaryota; Metazoa; Chordata; Mammalia; Primates; Hominidae.